RNAcentral lists this long non-coding RNA (6981 nucleotides) under Panicum hallii. Its description in RNAcentral is "long non-coding RNA (PHAL_LNC000977)". Lineage: Eukaryota; Viridiplantae; Streptophyta; Magnoliopsida; Poales; Poaceae. The record is from RNAcentral.
AAUCUGAGACAGAAAUCGAAACAAAAUUAAGAUUAGAAGAAAAUACUGGGCCGGAAAAAACAACGCCAAUGAAGUUUAGAAGAAAUAGGAAAGAAGAGAAGCAAGGAUCAACUACAGAAGCUACAUGCGUCAGCGGGACCAUGGCUUGCUCCGCCUCCUCCUUGGUAGCGCCUGCACGUAGGAUUUCAAUCUUAACUUCCUGCAGUGAUAGCAGGUUCCCUAGGCCAAAAUCGAGACCACCAUCGCUGCUGGCCAUUCCUCUUGCCUCCCGCACAUAAAACAACGGCCAGAGCCGAAGCUCUCUGAGCCUUGGCAUAGCUUCUUGUUAAAUCGCGAGAACCAACAGCUUACGAGGCACGGGAAGGAACCAGCACCAACAACGAAUCCCUGAAGGAUGCCCAGGUUCUUAUUGUCCACCUCCAGAUUUACAUAGUGGAGAGCUGGCAACCUCCCGAGGAUUUCGAGGUCGCCCUGAUGCAGCUCCCUCACGGCGAUGGUUAGACAGGUGAGAUCCGGAACAAGCGAUGGAUUCACCCAAGCUGGCAGUGUUGAAAACCAACAACUGUAUUGUGUAACCAAGUCACGGAGACGUCGAGGGGCAACCCAGGUAUCCAAUCCACCUAUGCUGCGGUGAGGAUGACGGAGCAUGAUCGAUACACAGUUCCUGAAUCUUUUGUAGCUUGUGCAGGCACUCUAACAGCUUGUCAUUCCACUCCUCCAAUUUAAUCCACAGCCGCCUCAGUUCAUUUAGCUCGCCCAACUCUUCUAUAAUGUUUAUGGCGGAGUCAUCAAUGUAUAACUGUGACAGCAGCUCAAGGCAUGUUAGUUUUCUUCACUUGACAAGGAACGGAUAAGAUCCAGCACCAUAUCAUGUAUGCGACAGCCAUUUACCAUGCCAGUUGAUGAGUUAUGUAUCGGUUGGAUCAUACUUCUGAUUAUGAGCUCGUUGAAGUAAAACUCUCCGAGUUCAAAUAGGCAAAAUAUAAUAGAAGUCCAAUCAGAAUCUUUGCCAAAACAUAAUAGAAGUCCAAUCAGGAAUAAAGACCAUAUAUUUUGCUAUAUUAUUUUUGCACUCCAUAAUGAUGUAAAAAAAGACAAAGCGAUUGUAUUUUAUUAUUGGCUAAAAAGUCUUUAUGAGAGCUAAACACACCAGGUAAUUGGAUAGAUUAUGAAAACCUUAGCACCCAGAUUAUUGUAAUCCCACUCUCUCUCUCCAUCCUACUUUUGAGGAUAUAAACACAACUAAAAAAAAGAUGAUUAGAAGGAAAUAAAGUGGGGAGGAUGUGUUAGAAUAACGGAGAAAGAACAACCGGAGCUAAGGUGGCAUAGGAUGGGAAAAAACCAACGCAAUUAAGUUUAGAAGAAAUGGGAAACGACACUCCGCUCCACCGUCUCCAUCAUGGAGCAGCUCCACCAUAUAUUUAUAUCAUGGUUGGGAUGAUUGGGAUGCAUUCUAGCUGCCAGCGUCAGCGCAGCCUUGGCUUUCUCCGCCGCCUCCUUGCUAGCGCCUUCACAUCGGAGCUGAGCCACGACCAUCUGCAGCGAUGGCAGGUUCCCCAGGCCCAAGUCGAGGCCACCAUCGCUGCUGGCAAUUCCUCCUCCCUCCCGCACGUAAAACAACGACAAGAGGUCAAGCUCUCUAAGCCUUGGCAUAGCUCCUUGUUGAAAUACCACUGGCCAUACAAAUUGAGAGAAGGAACAGAGUACAAGGCACGGGAACGAACCAGCACCAACAACGAAUCCCUGAAGGAUUCCCAGGUUCUUGUUGUCCACCACCAGACUUAGUGUGCGGAGAGCUGGCAACCUCCCGAGGAUUUCGAGGUCGCCCUGAUGCAGCUCCCUCACAGCGAUAUAUAGGCAGGUGAGAUCCGGAACAAGUGAUGGAUUCACCCAAGCCGGCAGUGUAGAAAACCAACAGCUGUUUACUGUACUCAAAUCACGAAUAUGUCGAGGGGCGGUCCAGGCAUCCAAUCCACCGAUGCUGCGUUGACCAGGGUGGACCGAGAUAUCUAGUUUCUGGAUCUUUUGUAGCAUGCGUAGGCCCUCCAACAGCUUGUCGUUCCACUCGUCCAAUUCAAUCUCCAGCCGCCUUAGGGCAGCUAGCUGGCCCAACUCUUCUACAAUAUUUAUGGUGGAGCCAUCAAUGCAUAACAACGACAGCUGUUCAAGGCAUGUUAGGUUUCCAAUUCCAUUCGGCACUUUUGUAUACCCGUCGAUGUAUAGGAACAUCAAAUUAGUUAGCUGAACAACACCCGAAGGCAACCAUGAAAUAGAAUUGCCCCUUACGUGCAAUGUUUGUAGAAACUGCAGGUUCCCUAUUUCUUCCGGGAGCUGAGAAAUAUCCAUACAAAAUAGUCUCAAGUACCUCAACUGAUAUAAAUUUCCAAGGUACUUAAGACUAUUAGCUUGUGAAAGAUCACAUAGACAUAAAUCCAGUACACGUAAAACCUGAAAACUCCCAAGAGCCGGCGCUUGAGCAAAUUCAGAUGGGAAGAUAACAACUGACCUUGCAUGUUGCAGCGAGCUCCUAGUAGCAUGAGCCAUUAUGUGACUGUUCUUGACAUUUUGAAGGGACAACCUCCGAAUCGUAUCUGAUGGAGAUGUGCUAUCCAUAUCACUUAGUACAGUAACAAAGUUUUCUUCAGUUGACAAGGAACGGAUAAGAUCGAGCACCAUAUCAUGUACGUGACAACUAUUUACCAUGCCACUGUAUCUGUCAUAUAUUGCUUGGACCAUACUUCUAUUUAUGAGCACAUUGAAAUAACUAUCUCCGAUUUCAAAUAGACUCUUCCCCUGUUUUUCACUUUUGAUAAAACCUUCAGCUAUCCACAUACUUAUCAAACGAUCCUUAUCAAUUUCAAAAUCUUCUGGAAACAUGCUUAAAUAUAAUAAGCAAGUCCUUAGAUGGCAUGGCAGCUCAUAAUAGCUAAAUGAUAAAAUCUUUCUCAUAUUCUUCACAUCUAGAUUGUUUUCCAGACCAGUACCAAUGGAAUUGUGCACCUCAUACCAAUCCAAUUUAUUUCUUGCUUUACAAGAUAGCAGACUAGCCAUCGUAAUAAUUGCUAAGGGUACACCAGCACAUUUGUUUAAUAUUUUGUCAGAUACUUCAACCAACUCCUCUUCAGGACAUUUUUCUCUGUCUUCAUUAUUAUCUUUGUUCUUACUACCAAAUAUUCUUCUAUACAGUAAUUUCCGGGAGUUAUUCAAAGAAAGGGGUUUCAGCUUGUAAGCACCACCAGCUUGUUCAGCAACGUCAUAAUUACGGGUUGUUGUAAUAAUAGUGUAUCCAACAUCAUUAUCAGGCAAAGCACAUCUGAUCAUUUUCCAGACUGAGAUAUCCCAUAUGUCGUCAAUAACAAUGAAAUACCUAUACAUAUGCCAAGUUAGUAGCAAGAACAAAUGGUUUUAAGAUGGAAAAGUUAUCAUAAUGUAUAUCAUACCACGGUAUGCAAAUUGAGCUAACUGGACAACAACUAACGUUUUAGUGUCUAGAGUAAAAUAGCUAGGGAGCAGCUAGAUUAGCAUGUAUGUAGACAAAAUAAGUCCACUCAGGAUCAUUGAAAAAAUAAAAAGGAACUCAAAUCAGAAACAAUGAUUGUAGAUUUUGCUUAUUUACACUUGAAAAUAUGCGAAAAAUAUUAAGUGGUUUCUAUUUUGCUAUUUAACGAGGGCCAUGCAUGAGCAUUUAGUUAACCUUAUGUACACUUAGGCCAUGUCUGGAUCUAAUUUUGAUAAAAGAAAUCGGAUAAAAAUCAUUAUGAGAAAUAAACACCCAGAUUAUUAUAAUCCCACUAUCUACCUUCACCCUAAUUUUGAGGUAAUAGACACAACCAACCCUCCAACCAUCUUAAAAUCUAGGGACCCAGACAACCCAGUUAUAAUGUAUAAUCUAGAUUCUUUCUUACAGUCUGACAAGACCCAAACAUGGCCUUUAGUAUUAUGAAUGGAAGGCAUAAAUUAUCAUUGGCAAAAAAAAAUCCCAAAUGUACAAAAGUUUACAUAAGGAAUGAUCUCAUACCUUUUCUCUUGAAGGAAUUCUCUAAGUACUUUUAUGAGCCGACUCUCAUCCAAUGUUUCUUCAUUAUUUUUUUUGCCAAGAUCACAGAGCAAGCCCUUGAAUAAUUUCUUCAAGUUAGGAGUUUGAGACACUGAAACAAAAGCACAGCAAUCGAAUCGUGCUCUAAUCUUUUCAUAAACUGCUUUUGCAAGAGUUGUCUUUCCCAAUCCCCCAAAUCCAACAAUGGAAACUAUCUUUCCAUGCUGCUGCAUGGACACUUCAUUCUCUUCUUCUAGAAUCUUAAUUAGCUCAUCUCUUGCCUCAUCAAUUCCAACAAGCUCUUUCGCCUCCGUGUACUGACUGAAUAAACGUGGAUCGAUCAUGACAGGCAUAGCAACAUCACUGUUGAUCUUGUACCUUCCAUGCCGCUUGGCUACCUCUUCGACACGGGUCUUGAUGUCUCUGAUCUCAGUGGCCAUCCCAUGGCGAAUCUUGGCCUUUCUAAACAAACCAACACUUCUAUCAAUGAACUUCUUGAUGCCAUGCAGAUUGCCCUGCUCUUUACCCUGCCCACGGACCAUGAAUGUGUCAAUACCGUCCUCUAUAUCAUAGGACAGCUCCCUCAAAUCCCUAGCCCAGAUCUUGUCUUGAAUGUCAAGCCGGUCGGCCGGUGUGCUAGAGACCUUCUCAAGGGCACCCUUCAUACUCUCGAGCUCCGAUUGGAGAAACCUGAUCUCCCCUUCAGCCCCUUCUGCAGAUUGUACUCGCCAAUGAGAAGUUCACCUAGCUUGGUGAUAACGCUUGGCAGUGCACCUGUCACCACCUCCAUGCAAGGAUUUGUCCCUGGGCGAAUACAAGGAGCUAGUAGGUUAUUGUUUCUCUUUUCCGUCGUGUUGCACUUGCACAAGGCGCGCCUGAAUAAUAAAGGAUGAGAGGGUACAAGAUAUGGGACUCACUAGGUUCUUCUUGAUGGGAAUCAAGAGCUGCCACAGCCAGGCAGGAACUUGGAUGGAGUCGCUGCUGGUCGUCCCCAGAUCGUGCUUUUGCGACGCUAUGCAACUUCCACGGCCGCCUUGACUCGAACUUGCUGCCACCAACCAACUCAGGUGCUCGCAGCUGCCAUAUAAUACAACGCUAUGCCAGUGGAAUUAACGGCAAUAAUAGAUGAGAGAUGGAAUGAGAUCGGAUCAAAUAAAGGGAAACUGGAUAGGAGGGAAGUGUGGAAAAGACCCAAGAAAUAUUGGGGCUCAAAUCAAAAAUUAAUUUUUGCCCGGUGGGUUGGAAUUUUGCUUGCAAAGUCAAGCACUUCAGGGAUAUAAAAGGAUAAAAUAAACCUUGUGCGUUUUCUGCUGGCACUGCCUUUUCCUUUGUUGGCACUGCCUUUUUCUUUGUUGCCCAUAAUUAAUUAUCAUCUAUUUUUUCUGCUGGCACUGCCUUUUCCUUUGUUGUUUUAAUUACGCAUAAUGCCUUUUGCUUUCGUCCUUGCACCAACUAAAGGAAUCUUCUUUUUCUCAAAGCAAUACAGGUGGCUGCUUGUUUAACUACAAGAGUGGGACCUGCUAAGAAGAAUUCGAUCAAGCACGCAACGCAUGGGUCAUCUGUGCUUUCCGUCUUGCCACUGUAGCAAAACAUGACGUCGCUGCAGGGAUAAAAGAAAUUAAAUGUAAUGAAGUGCAAUUUGCAGCGAAUUUCUUCACCGUGAGAUAGACUUUAGCAAUGCCUAUGUAUUUAUAGAACAUAUCUCAUUUGCUUAAAGCAUUUGCACUAACAAGACGAAUCUUCUUCCUUUUCCUUAUACCAAAGUGAAGUAGACAGGCCAUGGUGGAAGAUGGCAUCUUCUUGCCCUUAUGAUCAACCUUUCCCUUUACAAAUAUCCUCACUUAUCAUUUUAGUGGGGUGCAGUACACUAGGACAUAGACAAGCGGAGCAUGAAAGUGUGGGCAUUCUAGGAGGUAGUGGUAUGCAUGCACUGAAGUCUGACGUCUGAAUCCGGCCGGGUAGCAAUGGCAGGAAAAACCUCACUAGUUCUUCCAUAUGCAACGGAAUCAGCGAUUGUACUGCACCAAUCUGUCUCUGCCUUCCAAUGUACACCCCUUGGUAUUGUGCCGAGCUCUGUUCUGAAACCUGAAGGCCGGCCGUUUCUUACCAUGUACAACAUUACCACAUUCGAAAGGCAGACAAGGAACAGAAGACAGAACCACUUGAUGGCGUCCUCAGCGAGCCGCUGACCUGGGUCUCCAUGGCGUCGUCGUCAGGUUUGGGUGCCCGUACCUCGACGUGUGGAAUCAAUGAACACAGAUGAACCUCGCCGUCGUGCGGCUCCGGCAGCCGGCGGGGAGAAUGGCCUCCUGCAGCUCGGACAUGGUCUUGCAGAAGCAGAGGUCCUGCUACAGUGCGACGAGCAGGUGCCUGCAGCGAAGAGUGGAGUGCGCGCGCUCAAACAUGUGCCUGCUAAGUACAUGGGGUUUUCCCGCGAGAGUUCGAAUCUCUCAGGCGUCGCAAUGUUUUCCUUUUUAUUCAUAGUAGAAUACAGAGAGAUUCCUUUUUAUUAGGCAAAGCACAUCUGAUCAUUUUCCAGACUAAUAUAUCCCAUAUGUCGUCAAUAACAAUGAAAUACCUAUAUAUAUGACAAGUUAGUAGCAAGAACAAAUGGUUUUAAGAUGGAAAAAGUUAUCAUAAUGUACAUAUACCACGGUAUGCAAAUUGAGCUAACUGGAAAACAACUAACGUUUUAGUGACUAGAGUAAAAUAGCUAGGGAGCAGCUAGAUUAGCAUGUAUCCUUGAAGGAACCAGCACCAAUAAUGAAUCCCUGAAGGAUGCCCAGAUUCUUAUUGUCCACCUCUACAUUUACAUAGCGGAGAGCUGGCAACCUCCUAAGGAUUUCGAGGUCGCCCUGAUGCAGCUCCCUCACGGUGAUGGUUAGUCAGGUGAGAUCCGGAACAAGCGAUGGAUUCACCCAAGCUGGCAGUGUUGAAAACCAACA